Regulatory RNA element from Pterocles gutturalis (yellow-throated sandgrouse), 62 nucleotides. It matches the Rfam family "Selenocysteine insertion sequence 1". From Rfam's summary of the family: The incorporation of selenocysteine into a protein sequence is directed by an in-frame UGA codon (usually a stop codon) within the coding region of the mRNA. NCBI's taxonomy places the organism in Eukaryota, Metazoa, Chordata, Aves, Pterocliformes, Pteroclidae. The record is from Rfam.
GUGUGCUUAUGAAGAUCGCUAACGAAAGAGUUAACUCAGUUGGCGUUCAGAUGCCCUCACAC